UUCCGGUUGAUCCUGCCAGAGGCUACUGCUAUCGGGGUCCGACUAAGCCAUGCGAGUUGAGAGGGGUAAGCCCUCGGCAUAUUGCUCAGUAACACGCGGAUAACCUGCCCUUGGGUUUGGGAUAACCCCGGGAAACUGGGACUAAUACCGGAUAGAUCAAAGAAACUGGAAUGUUCUCUGAUCGAAAGCUCCGGCGCCCAAGGAUGGGUCUGCGGCCUAUCAGGUAGUAGUGGGUGUAACGUACCUACUAGCCUACGACGGGUAAGGGUUGUGAGAGCAAGAGCCCUGAGAUGGAUUCUGAGACAUGAAUCCAGGCCCUACGGGGUGCAGCAGGCGCGAAAACUUUACACUGCGGGAAACCGCGAUAAGGGGACCCCGAGUGCCAGCACCUAGUGCUGGCUGUCCAGCUGUUCAAAUAACAGUUGUUAGCAAGGGCCGGGCAAGACCGGUGCCAGCCGCCGCGGUAACACCGGCGGCCCGAGUGGUAGCCGUUAUUAUUGGGUUUAAAGGGUCCGUAGCCGGCCUAUUAAGUCUCUUGGGAAAUCUGGCGACUCAAUCGUCAGGCGUUCAAGAGAUACUGGUAGGCUUGGGGCCGGGAGAGGUGGGAGGUACUCCAGGGGUAGGGGUGAAAUCUCGUAAUCCUUGGGGGACCACCGAUGGCGAAGGCAUCCCACCAGAACGGGUCCGACGGUGAGGGACGAAAGCUGGGGGCACGAACCGGAUUAGAUACCCGGGUAGUCCCAGCCGUAAACGAUGCUCGCUAGGUGUCAGGUGCGGUGCGACCGCAUCUGGUGCCGCAGUGAAAACUUGAAGCGAGUCACCUGGGAAGUACGGUCGCAAGGCUGAAACUUAAAGGAAUUGGCGGGGGAGCACUACAACGGGUGGAGCCUGCGGUUCAAUUGGAUUCAACGCCGGA
This 916-nucleotide ribosomal RNA is filed under the name archaeon enrichment culture clone EAr-c28. RNAcentral describes it as "bacterial SSU rRNA". It matches the Rfam family "Archaeal small subunit ribosomal RNA", at positions 1 to 922 of the family's 1478-position model. The record is from RNAcentral.